Molecule: non-coding RNA, 65 nt
Filed under: Dermacoccus nishinomiyaensis
Lineage: Bacteria; Bacillati; Actinomycetota; Actinomycetes; Micrococcales; Dermacoccaceae
Source: RNAcentral
GCAGAGCCCGUCGAUGCGGGCCCGGACGAGGGAGCCGUACCCGGCAGCGCGACAAGACGGCCAUC